GGUUAAGCGACUAAGCGUACACGGUGGAUGCCCUGGCAGUCAGAGGCGAUGAAGGACGUGCUAAUCUGCGAUAAGCGUCGGUAAGGUGAUAUGAACCGUUAUAACCGGCGAUUUCCGAAUGGGGAAACCCAGUGUGAUUCGUCACACUAUCAUUAACUGAAUCCAUAGGUUAAUGAGGCGAACCGGGGGAACUGAAACAUCUAAGUACCCCGAGGAAAAGAAAUCAACCGAGAUUCCCCCAGUAGCGGCGAGCGAACGGGGAGCAGCCCAGAGCCUGAAUCAGUGUGUGUGUUAGUGGAAGCGUCUGGAAAGGCGCGCGAUACAGGGUGACAGCCCCGUACACAAAAAUGCACAUGCUGUGAGCUCGAUGAGUAGGGCGGGACACGUGGUAUCCUGUCUGAAUAUGGGGGGACCAUCCUCCAAGGCUAAAUACUCCUGACUGACCGAUAGUGAACCAGUACCGUGAGGGAAAGGCGAAAAGAACCCCGGCGAGGGGAGUGAAAAAGAACCUGAAACCGUGUACGUACAAGCAGUGGGAGCACAGAGCAAUCUGUGUGACUGCGUACCUUUUGUAUAAUGGGUCAGCGACUUAUAUUCUGUAGCAAGGUUAACCGAAUAGGGGAGCCGAAGGGAAACCGAGUCUUAACUGGGCGUUAAGUUGCAGGGUAUAGACCCGAAACCCGGUGAUCUAGCCAUGGGCAGGUUGAAGGUUGGGUAACACUAACUGGAGGACCGAACCGACUAAUGUUGAAAAAUUAGCGGAUGACUUGUGGCUGGGGGUGAAAGGCCAAUCAAACCGGGAGAUAGCUGGUUCUCCCCGAAAGCUAUUUAGGUAGCGCCUCGUGAAUUCAUCUCCGGGGGUAGAGCACUGUUUCGGCAAGGGGGUCAUCCCGACUUACCAACCCGAUGCAAACUGCGAAUACCGGAGAAUGUUAUCACGGGAGACACACGGCGGGUGCUAACGUCCGUCGUGAAGAGGGAAACAACCCAGACCGCCAGCUAAGGUCCCAAAGUCAUGGUUAAGUGGGAAACGAUGUGGGAAGGCCCAGACAGCCAGGAUGUUGGCUUAGAAGCAGCCAUCAUUUAAAGAAAGCGUAAUAGCUCACUGGUCGAGUCGGCCUGCGCGGAAGAUGUAACGGGGCUAAACCAUGCACCGAAGCUGCGGCAGCGACGCUUAUGCGUUGUUGGGUAGGGGAGCGUUCUGUAAGCCUGCGAAGGUGUGCUGUGAGGCAUGCUGGAGGUAUCAGAAGUGCGAAUGCUGACAUAAGUAACGAUAAAGCGGGUGAAAAGCCCGCUCGCCGGAAGACCAAGGGUUCCUGUCCAACGUUAAUCGGGGCAGGGUGAGUCGACCCCUAAGGCGAGGCCGAAAGGCGUAGUCGAUGGGAAACAGGUUAAUAUUCCUGUACUUGGUGUUACUGCGAAGGGGGGACGGAGAAGGCUAUGUUGGCCGGGCGACGGUUGUCCCGGUUUAAGCGUGUAGGCUGGUUUUCCAGGCAAAUCCGGAAAACUAAGGCUGAGGCGUGAUGACGAGGCACUACGGUGCUGAAGCAACAAAUGCCCUGCUUCCAGGAAAAGCCUCUAAGCAUCAGGUAACAUCAAAUCGUACCCCAAACCGACACAGGUGGUCAGGUAGAGAAUACCAAGGCGCUUGAGAGAACUCGGGUGAAGGAACUAGGCAAAAUGGUGCCGUAACUUCGGGAGAAGGCACGCUGAUAUGUAGGUGAAGUCCCUCGCGGAUGGAGCUGAAAUCAGUCGAAGAUACCAGCUGGCUGCAACUGUUUAUUAAAAACACAGCACUGUGCAAACACGAAAGUGGACGUAUACGGUGUGACGCCUGCCCGGUGCCGGAAGGUUAAUUGAUGGGGUCAGCGCAAGCGAAGCUCUUGAUCGAAGCCCCGGUAAACGGCGGCCGUAACUAUAACGGUCCUAAGGUAGCGAAAUUCCUUGUCGGGUAAGUUCCGACCUGCACGAAUGGCGUAAUGAUGGCCAGGCUGUCUCCACCCGAGACUCAGUGAAAUUGAACUCGCUGUGAAGAUGCAGUGUACCCGCGGCAAGACGGAAAGACCCCGUGAACCUUUACUAUAGCUUGACACUGAACAUUGAGCCUUGAUGUGUAGGAUAGGUGGGAGGCUUGGAAGUGUGGACGCCAGUCUGCAUGGAGCCGACCUUGAAAUACCACCCUUUAAUGUUUGAUGUUCUAACGUUGACCCGUAAUCCGGGUUGCGGACAGUGUCUGGUGGGUAGUUUGACUGGGGCGGUCUCCUCCUAAAGAGUAACGGAGGAGCACGAAGGUUGGCUAAUCCUGGUCGGACAUCAGGAGGUUAGUGCAAUGGCAUAAGCCAGCUUGACUGCGAGCGUGACGGCGCGAGCAGGUGCGAAAGCAGGUCAUAGUGAUCCGGUGGUUCUGAAUGGAAGGGCCAUCGCUCAACGGAUAAAAGGUACUCCGGGGAUAACAGGCUGAUACCGCCCAAGAGUUCAUAUCGACGGCGGUGUUUGGCACCUCGAUGUCGGCUCAUCACAUCCUGGGGCUGAAGUAGGUCCCAAGGGUAUGGCUGUUCGCCAUUUAAAGUGGUACGCGAGCUGGGUUUAGAACGUCGUGAGACAGUUCGGUCCCUAUCUGCCGUGGGCGCUGGAGAACUGAGGGGGGCUGCUCCUAGUACGAGAGGACCGGAGUGGACGCAUCACUGGUGUUCGGGUUGUCAUGCCAAUGGCACUGCCCGGUAGCUAAAUGCGGAAGAGAUAAGUGCUGAAAGCAUCUAAGCACGAAACUUGCCCCGAGAUGAGUUCUCCCUGACUCCUUGAGAGUCCUGAAGGAACGUUGAAGACGACGACGUUGAUAGGCCGGGUGUGUAAGCGCAGCGAUGCGUUGAGCUAACCGGUACUAAUGAACCGUGAGGCUUAACCUU
This 2906-nucleotide ribosomal RNA is filed under the name Escherichia coli. Its description in RNAcentral is "23S ribosomal RNA". It matches the Rfam family "Bacterial large subunit ribosomal RNA". Lineage: Bacteria; Pseudomonadati; Pseudomonadota; Gammaproteobacteria; Enterobacterales; Enterobacteriaceae. The record is from RNAcentral.